Long non-coding RNA from Prunus persica (peach), 435 nucleotides. RefSeq lists it as uncharacterized. The record is from RefSeq and is a predicted model, not a curated record. The transcript is spliced from 2 exons. NCBI's taxonomy places the organism in Eukaryota, Viridiplantae, Streptophyta, Magnoliopsida, Rosales, Rosaceae.
AGAAAAAUAUGAACUCGAGGGGUUUUUUUUAUACUUAUACCCUUUUGAUUUUAGGUAUCGCCUUUAUCUGCGGCGUGUGCAGAUUAAUCUAUAUAUCUACAAGAAAGUCGGACAAGGAGGACAAGGUAACUAUGAACGCAGCAGCUACAACUGUGGAGGAAAAAGGUACACCUCUAACGUAAGCAUGACCCCGACAGUUGAGGAGGGAAUAGACAUGGUCGAGACCAUGGCCACAAUGAAAAACCAGGACCUGGAACUGCUGAGACUGAAACAAAGAAUAAGAUAAUGCGUGCUCGUCAGAGUACUACUAUAUUUUUGUAUGUCAAUAAAAAGGUGAUUUGGUUGAGUUGUCUAAUGAACUCUCAAUUAUAAGCCUGGUUUUAAUUAAGGUUUAUCUAUGUACUCUACAUAAUGAUCAUAGUGUCAAAAUGUCUA